CCUACGGGAGGCAGCAGUGGGGGAUAUUGCACAAUGGGGGGAACCCUGAUGCAGCGACGCCGCGUGGGUGAAGGAGUGCUUCGGCAUGUAAAGCCCUAUCGGCAGGGAAGAAGCAAGACGGUACCUGACUAAGAAGCCCCGGCUAACUACGUGCCAGCAGCCGCGGUAAUACGUAGGGGGCGAGCGUUAUCCGGAUCCACUGGGUGUAAAGGGAGCGUAGACGGCCAUGCAAGCCAGGGGUGAAAGCCCGGGGCCCAACCCCGGGACUGCCCUUGGAACUGUGCGGCUAGAGUGCGGGAGGGGCAGGCGGAAUUCCUGGUGUAGCGGUGAAAUGCGUAGAUAUCAGGAGGAACACCGGCGGCGAAGGCGGCCUGCUGGACUGCGACUGACGUUGAGGCUCGAAAGCGUGGGGAGCGAACAGGAUUAGAUACCCCUGUAGUC
RNAcentral lists this ribosomal RNA (441 nucleotides) under uncultured bacterium. RNAcentral describes it as "partial 16S ribosomal RNA". It matches the Rfam family "Bacterial small subunit ribosomal RNA", at positions 338 to 795 of the family's 1533-position model. The record is from RNAcentral.